This 71-nucleotide transfer RNA is filed under the name Candidatus Woesearchaeota archaeon CG06_land_8_20_14_3_00_33_13. RNAcentral's name for it is "tRNA-Gly". It matches the Rfam family "tRNA". From Rfam's summary of the family: Transfer RNA (tRNA) molecules are approximately 80 nucleotides in length. Lineage: Archaea; Nanobdellati; Candidatus Woesearchaeota. The record is from RNAcentral. RNAcentral also lists the same sequence under 1 other name.
GCGACAGUAGUUUAGUGGUAUGAUACGUCCCUGCCACGGACGUGACCCGGGUCCGAAUCCCGGCUGUCGCA